CAGUAGCCACGGGAAUACAGAGGGUGCAAGCGUUAAUCGGAUUUACUGGGCGUAAAGGGCGCGUAGGUGGUUAUUUAAGUGAGAUGUGAAAUCCCCGGGCUUAACCUGGGAACUGCAUCUUAUACUGGGUAACUGGAGUGCAGUAGAGGGUAGUGGAAUUUCCGGUGUAGCGGUGAAAUGCGUAGAUAUCGGAAGGAACACCAGUGGCGAAGGCGGCUACCUGGACUGAGACUGACACUGAGGCGCGAGAGCGUGGGGAGCAAACAGGAUUAGAUACCCGCGUAGUCCCUGUCUCUUAUAC
This 301-nucleotide ribosomal RNA is filed under the name uncultured bacterium. Its description in RNAcentral is "partial 16S ribosomal RNA". It matches the Rfam family "Bacterial small subunit ribosomal RNA", at positions 509 to 807 of the family's 1533-position model. The record is from RNAcentral.